This 460-nucleotide ribosomal RNA is filed under the name uncultured bacterium. RNAcentral's name for it is "partial 16S ribosomal RNA". It matches the Rfam family "Bacterial small subunit ribosomal RNA", at positions 338 to 795 of the family's 1533-position model. The record is from RNAcentral.
CCUACGGGCGGCAGCAGUGAGGAAUAUUGGUCAAUGGACGCAAGCCUGAACCAGCCAAGUCGCGUGAGGGAUGACGGUCCUAUGGAUUGUAAACCUCUUUUGUCGGGGAGCAAGGCCCGCCACGUGUGGCGGGAAGGAGAGUACCCGAAGAAAAAGCAUCGGCUAACUCCGUGCCAGCAGCCGCGGUAAUACGGAGGAUGCGAGCGUUAUCCGGAUUUAUUGGGUUUAAAGGGUGCGCAGGCGGCCUGUUAAGUCAGCGGUAAAAGCCCGGGGCUCAACCCCGGCGAGCCGUUGAAACUGGCGGGCUGGAGUUGGAGAGAAGUACGCGGAAUGCGCGGUGUAGCGGUGAAAUGCUUAGAUAUCGCGCAGAACCCCGAUUGCGAAGGCAGCGUACCGGCUCCACACUGACGCUGAGGCACGAAAGCGUGGGUAUCGAACAGGAUUAGAUACCCGAGUAGUC